CCCCGCCCAUCGCUCCCGUCAGUCCUCCCCCGUGCAGGAGCAUCUCCCAGGGGCCAGACGUAGGUGUGGCAGCAGAACGGGCUCGCGAGGAGCUGGGACGCCUUGUCCAUUUUUCUUUAUAGAAAAAGGUUUUUGAUGUUGAUACUGAUGUUUUAUUCUUUCAUCAUCUCCCCAAGAGCUCUUUCCCUCCCGAGACUGACAUCAUCCUGCAGGAUAAAUAAUAUUCUUAUAGAAGCAACAAAGUUAGCGGCCCCGAUGCGUCCACUGAACGUGUCCUAAAACCACACCUGGGACCUCCUACCCCAGGAAGGGGGUUGGGUCAGGGGGCGUCACUUCUCGUUGAGGCCGCUACUCCUAGUUCCUGUCCUGUUCCCAAAGCCCUUCCAGCUAUGGCUUUAGCUAGUCAGCCAAUCGAUAAACAAUUACUAAGUGCGGCACAAAAGGCAAAAUACAAUCCCCGUGCUCCAGGAGCUUAACGGGGGGGAAGCCCCCGAGGAUGUGCAAACAAGGCAGGACGCACAGGAGGGCAGAGGGAAAUGCUUCAGAACCAGGCAGGGUUGGGAAAGAGAGAGGCAGAGGCUGGGAACCUGAAGAAAGGAAGGUCUGUAGACGGACGAAGAUGGUGAGCGCCCCUACCCUGGGGGCAGCCAGAGAAAACGCCUGCCAGCAAAGAGAGUCCUGUCCCUGGAACAGCAAGGACGCCGUUGUCGCCGGGUCCGUGAUCCCGAGCUGGGCAGUAAUGGAAGAUGCCUGGAUGGCAGAAAGAAUUGCUACCAUGAAGCAUCCUCUUCCCUUGCAUUUCUCAUUUGCCUUAGAGCUUGGAUGAGAUAAGCAUCAACAACUCUUCUUUUGGAGAAGAUGGAAGACCACUGGGCCUUACCUCUAACCCUGUCAUCCUGUACCUCAUAUCUGCUUACCCACUUACAUGACUCAAGGAUCUUGGGGGUUUUCCUAGAACUAUUCCUUCACACAUGACCCUUCUGGGAUUUUCCAUCUGAUCUUUUUUUAAAAAUGUGUUGUUUCCCCUAACUUGAGGGCAAAUUUUUAGAAAUCAGGGACUUUUUUUUUUUUUUUUUAAUCUUAGUGCUCAGAUCAUAAGGAGCUCUUCACAAAUUCUUUUUCAUUCAUUUGUUUAGUCUCUAGGGGUUUUUAACCCACUUCCCAUUCCCUUUGACAGGUCAGAAGGUGGGAGGACUUGGACUGGUGGGGAGGUCUGGGGGAUGAACCUCAGUAAGCAAAAGCUCUGAGACAGUAAGGAGCAUGCAUGUAAUAUGGAGACAGCCCAGCUGGAACCCAUGGGGGAAUAGUAGGAGGAGAUAAAGUCAGAUAAGUCGGGUGGGGCCUGAUUGUGGAAGGGGCUGAAUGGUACAUUGAGAAGUUGGACUUUAUCCUGCAGACAUUGAGGAGCCACUGUUCAAGGCGGCUUGAGCUAAAGACUCACACAAUUGCCUUUUGGGGCCAGUCACCCUGAAAUUUUCAGUGACUUAUUACUGCCAGUAGAUGUCAAUGUUUCAGUAAAUUUCAAAGGCCUUCCAUGUUCUCAGUCUGAUUUCCACCAGCUGGCUUGGUCCAUGGAAGAAGAAAAAGGCCAGAAAUCCUGCCUCUUCUCUCUUUGCUUUAUCUUUUAAUGAUCUUAUCCAAAUCCACAGUUUCAGUUUUCAUUUGUAUACUGAUAUCUCUUAAAUGAAUAAAUAUCACCAGAGCCCUGG
Molecule: long non-coding RNA, 1709 nt
Organism: Sarcophilus harrisii (Tasmanian devil)
Lineage: Eukaryota; Metazoa; Chordata; Mammalia; Dasyuromorphia; Dasyuridae
Exons: 2
Source: RefSeq, a predicted model, not a curated record